AGCUGUGUAGUAUAAUUGGUAGGGAACUGGGCUUGUAACCCAAAGGUUGCUGGUUCAAUUGUCCAGUCACAUAGUUA
RNAcentral lists this transfer RNA (77 nucleotides) under Albula glossodonta (roundjaw bonefish). Its description in RNAcentral is "tRNA-OTHER". The record is from RNAcentral. Lineage: Eukaryota; Metazoa; Chordata; Actinopteri; Albuliformes; Albulidae.